RNAcentral lists this long non-coding RNA (1770 nucleotides) under Citrus x clementina. RNAcentral describes it as "Citrus clementina (C. clementina) long non-coding RNA (CCLE_LNC001537)". Lineage: Eukaryota; Viridiplantae; Streptophyta; Magnoliopsida; Sapindales; Rutaceae. The record is from RNAcentral.
GUUAAACUGGUAAUUUAUUUUUUCUUUUUAAUAAUGUCUAAAAAAUUAUUAUAAUAGGAUAAUAUUGUAAAAAUAAGUUAAAAUGAACAAAAGAUAACGGCAAGAGUGUCAAUAAUUUAAUGACAGAGAUGAUUUGAGGUAUUUUAAAAAAUAUAGGGACUAAACGAAUACUAACUUUAAAAUAUAGGGACUAAACAAACUUUUACCCUUGAUAAUUUUUAAAUCAUUUUUCUUACUUUUGAAUUCUAAAAGUAAUUAAUUUUCUUCUCAAAAAAGUAUUAAUUUUAAUUAUUGACCAUCGCCCACUUGUUAAAGUAUAAAAACAUCCUUUUUUUAAUAUUUUUGUUGACUAAAGAUUUCAACUCUAAAAGAAAUACUUUUUAAAUUAACAAAAAUAAUAAAAUAAAAAUGACGCAGUCCGUAAAAUUCAAAAAAGAAAAUUGCCUUGGCCACACGCGGCCAUGGAUUUGACUCCCAGGUUGCCAUGGCCGCACGCGGCUAAGGCUUUGGUUCUAAGCCACCACACUUAUGGUUUCUUCAAAUAUAUCGGACCCGAUCUUAGGAUCAGAUACUCCCAAACUUUAAGGAGAUUAGGCUCAAAAAAGUUUCUUAAUUCAUCGGUUAUGGGUUUUAAGAAACAUAGUUGCGCUAAUUAAGAGCAUCGAGAGCUAACUCGAAUGGGUGAAAGGCAUGAACUGAAGGAUUUUACUGAAGCAGUUCAUAUCAGAAAUAGAGCUUCGAACAGCUUUCGUGCUUUGCCCCAUUUGGUCGAGACCAUAAGCCAAAAACAGAGAGUAUAUUAGAAGCCGUCUCGUACAACAAAUACAGAGCUAUUGAAGCGGCUUGAAUUAUGAACACUCAAUGGAAUAACUAAAACCAAAGCAAUAUACUCGCCAGGUGUUGCAGUUACCAUGGGCGGAUUCACCUUAGGACCAGUGGGGACUUAAGCCCCCACUGGAAAUUUUUUUUUUUAAUAAUUAAUUUAGUUUUCUUAAAAUUCUCAAUAAUUUUUUCUAAAGCCCCUGUUGAUUUAUAAAACCCCCAGUGAAUCACUAUAAUUUUUUCUAAAGCCCCCAGUGAAUCUGUCUCCGCCCCUGCCAGUUACCAUGGAUUUAGUUCCCAUGGCAGCGCGUGAACAUGGAUUUGGCUACCAUGCCGCGCACAACCAAGGGUUUGGUUUCCAUGGCUGUGCAUGGCCAUGGGUUUGGUUUCUAUGGCCACGUACUGUUAAGGGUUUGGUUGCCUUGGCUGCGCGUGGCUAUGGGUUUGAUUGUGUUGGCAGCGUACGGCCAUAGAUGGGAGAGAAGCCAAGGGUUUGAUAUUUAUGGGUGCAAAAUGGUAUUUUUUCAUUUUUUAUUUUAGAAAACUUAGAAAUAUUUAGGCCAUUGAAAAUUAGCCUACAUAGAGAUUUGACUUCUUUUUUUUUUUUUGGUUAAUUGACUGAUAUGAGAAUGUAUAAAUAUCAUUUUACCUUUUUGGCAUUAAAAAUAAAUGAGAUAACAAUUUUUAAUGAGUAACUUGAUGUAUUUAAAAGUAAAGGGAUAGUUUUGAUAUUGUCAAUUCACGAGAGGUAUGGGGAAAUUAAUCCUUACUACUUAUGGGUCCUUUAAACUUUGCUUUUCUUUUUACCUUAGUUUUGUCAAUGCUCAUCCACAUAUAAGAUACGAAUUUUAAUCUUCAAAAAAAUACUUUUAUAUUUUAUUUUCCCUUGAUUCUUUUUUUAUUAUUUUGUUUUACCUUGAUCCACAUCAAGAAAAAUAAUUUUGCUUA